Molecule: ribosomal RNA, 951 nt
Filed under: uncultured bacterium
Lineage: Bacteria
Description: bacterial SSU rRNA
Rfam family: Bacterial small subunit ribosomal RNA
Source: RNAcentral
CUACAACGAAGAGUUUGAUCCUGGCUCAGGAUGAACGCUAGCGGCAGGCUUAACACAUGCAAGUCGAGGGGUAAUCACGCUUUCGGGCGUGAACGACCGGCGCACGGGUGCGUAACGCGUAUACAAUUUACCUUAAACUGGGAGAUAGCCCGAAGAAAUUUGGAUUAAUAUCCCAUAUCUUUUAUAGAUGUCAUCAUUUAUAAAAUAAAGUUUCGACGGUUUAAGAUGAGUAUGCGUCCUAUUAGCUAUUAUGAGAGGUAACGGCUCCCAUAGGCUAUGAUAGGUAGGGGUUCUGAGAGGGAUACCCCCCACACUGGUACUGAGACACGGACCAGACUCCUACGGGAGGCAGCAGUGAGGAAUAUUGGACAAUGGGAGCAAUCCUGAUCCAGCCAUGCCGCGUGCAGGAAGACAGUCCUAUGGAUUGUAAACUGCUUUUAUACAGGAAGAAAAAGUCCGACUUGUCGGAUAUUGACGGUACUGUACGAAUAAGAAUCGGCUAACUCCGUGCCAGCAGCCGCGGUAAUACGGAGGAUUCAAGCGUUAUCCGGAAUCAUUGGGUUUAAAGGGUUCGUAGGCGGGAUAAUAAGUCAGUGGUGAAAGUUUGUGGCUCAACCAUAAAAUUGCCAUUGAUACUGUUGUUCUUGAGUUAUUGUGAAGUGGUUAGAAUGUGUAGUGUAGCGGUGAAAUGCAUAGAUAUUACACAGAACACCAAUUGCGAAGGCAUAUCACUAACAAUAUACUGACGCUGAUGAACGAAAGCGUAGGUAGCCAACAGGAUUAGAUACCCUGGUAGUCUACGCUGUAAACGAUGGUUACUAGCUGUUCGUCACGCCUUAGGCGAGAUGAGUGGUUAAGCGAAAGUGAUAAGUAACCCACCUGGGGAGUACGUUUGCAAGAAUGAAACUCAAAGGAAUUGACGGGGGCCCGCACAAGCGGUGGAGCAUGUGG